RNAcentral lists this ribosomal RNA (651 nucleotides) under uncultured bacterium. RNAcentral describes it as "bacterial SSU rRNA". It matches the Rfam family "Bacterial small subunit ribosomal RNA", at positions 8 to 648 of the family's 1533-position model. The record is from RNAcentral.
AGAGUUUGAUCCUGGCUCAGAGUGAACGCUGGCGGUAGGCCUAACACAUGCAAGUCGAACGGCAGCACAGAGGAGCUUGCUCCUUGGGUGGCGAGUGGCGGACGGGUGAGGAAUACAUCGGAAUCUACUUUUUCGUGGGGGAUAACGUAGGGAAACUUACGCUAAUACCGCAUACGACCUACGGGUGAAAGCAGGGGAUCUUCGGACCUUGCGCGAUUGAAUGAGCCGAUGUCGGAUUAGCUAGUUGGCGGGGUAAAGGCCCACCAAGGCGACGAUCCGUAGCUGGUCUGAGAGGAUGAUCAGCCACACUGGAACUGACACACGGUCCAGACUCCUACGGGAGGCAGCAGUGGGGAAUAUUGGACUAUGGGCGCAAGCCUGAUCCAUCCAUACCGCGUGGGUGAAGAACGCCUUCCGGUUGUAAAGCCCUUUUGUUGGGAAAGAAAUCCAGCCGGCUAAUACCUGGUUGGGAUGACGGAACCCAGAGAAUAAGCACCGGCUAACUUCGUGCAUGCUGCCGCCGUAAUACCAACGGUGCAAGCGUUACUCGGAAUUACUGGGCGUAAAGCGUGCGUACGUAGUUAUUUAAAUCCGAUGUGACAGCGCUGGACUACACCUGGCAACUGCAGUGGAUACUGUAUGACUAGAAUG